UACAGAGGGUGCGAGCGUUAAUCGGAAUUACUGGGCGUAAAGCGCGCGUAGGCGGCUUUGCAAGUCGGGUGUGAAAUCCCCGGGCUCAACCUGGGAACUGCAUCCGAAACUGCCUUGCUAGAGUAUGGGAGAGGGAAGUGGAAUUUCCGGUGUAGCGGUGAAAUGCGUAGAUAUCGGAAGGAACAUCAGUGGCGAAGGCGACUUCCUGGACCAAUACUGACGCUCAGGUGCGAAAGCGUGGGGAGCAAACAGG
RNAcentral lists this ribosomal RNA (253 nucleotides) under uncultured bacterium. RNAcentral describes it as "partial 16S ribosomal RNA". It matches the Rfam family "Bacterial small subunit ribosomal RNA", at positions 524 to 776 of the family's 1533-position model. The record is from RNAcentral.